Molecule: ribosomal RNA, 324 nt
Filed under: uncultured bacterium
Lineage: Bacteria
Description: bacterial SSU rRNA
Rfam family: Bacterial small subunit ribosomal RNA
Source: RNAcentral
GAUGAACGCUGGCGGCGUGCUUAACACAUGCAAGUCGAGCGAAGCAUAUAAGCGGAAGUUUUCGGAUGGAAGCGUGUAUGACUGAGCGGCGGACGGGUGAGUAACGCGUGGGUAACCUGCCUCAUACAGGGGGAUAACAGUUAGAAAUGACUGCUAAUACCGCAUAAGCGCACAGGACCGCAUGGUCAAGUGUGAAAAACUCCGGUGGUAUGAGAUGGACCCGCGUCUGAUUAGCUGGUUGGUGAGGUAACGGCCCACCAAGGCGACGAUCAGUAGCCGACCUGAGAGGGUGGCCGGCCACAUUGGGACUGAGACACGGCCCAA